This 120-nucleotide ribosomal RNA is filed under the name Secale strictum subsp. anatolicum. The record is from RNAcentral. Lineage: Eukaryota; Viridiplantae; Streptophyta; Magnoliopsida; Poales; Poaceae.
GGAUGCGAUCAUACCAGCACUAAAGCACCGGAUCCCAUCAGAACUCCGAAGUUAAGCGUGCUUUGGCGAGAGUAGUACUAGGAUAGGUGACCUCCUGGGAAGUCCUCGUGUUGCAUUCCC